UCGAGAUCACCUGGGAAGGGCCCAAAGUGAUAUCAUUGCCAGUAGCUCCCAGAGUCGAGCUGAUGAGCCUCUGGCAAAAGCAAAGCCGAUUGAUGUUGUGCCGAUGGUUGCGACAAUCAAACCGUCAAAUUCGUGAAAACUUCAGAGGUUUUUGAGGGCCAUCACCCCGUUUCAAUUCCGGCUGAACAUUUAUCCAAGGUUUCCUUUUAAAUUCUUAUAAGAGCCACUUGAGGGUUUCGCGUUCACAUUAGGCUAGUUCCCUACUGGUUUCCAGCUAUUCACUGCUUUAUGAUGAUAAAUCUUGCAUAUUAACAAGCAGAAAGGUAAAAGGGGUCUUGCGUCUUCUCAACUCCUUCUCUUCAACCCUAAUUUCACCUCUCUCUCUCUCUCUCUCGCGAAAUAGUCGCUGGAGUCGAGAUCACUUGGGAAGAGCCCAAAGUGAUAUCAUUGCCAGUAGCUCCCAGACCUAGAGUCGAGCUGAUGAGCCUCUGGUAAAAGCAAAGCAGGUUGAUGUUGUGCCGAUGGUCGCGACAAUCGAACCGUCAAAUUUGUGUAAACUUCAGAGGUUUUUGAGGGCCAUCGCCCCUUUUCAAUUCCGGCUGGACAUUUAUCCAAGGUUUCCUUUUAAAUUAAUUGAACUUCUGAAAUUUUUGCUUAA
Molecule: long non-coding RNA, 658 nt
Filed under: Olea europaea (common olive)
Lineage: Eukaryota; Viridiplantae; Streptophyta; Magnoliopsida; Lamiales; Oleaceae
Description: long non-coding RNA (OEUR_LNC011432)
Source: RNAcentral